Molecule: ribosomal RNA, 253 nt
Filed under: uncultured bacterium
Lineage: Bacteria
Description: partial 16S ribosomal RNA
Rfam family: Bacterial small subunit ribosomal RNA
Source: RNAcentral
UACAGAGGGUGCAAGCGUUAAUCGGAAUUACUGGGCGUAAAGCGUGCGUAGGUGGAUAUUUAAGUCGAAUGUGAAAGCCCCGGGCUUAACCUGGGAACUGCAUCCGAUACUGGAUAUCUAGAGUAUGGUAGAGGAAAGUGGAAUUCCCGGUGUAGCGGUGAAAUGCGUAGAUAUUCGGAAGAACACCAGUGGCGAAGGCGACUUACUGGACACAUAUUGACGCUGAGACACGAAAGCGUGGGUAGCAAACAGG